RNAcentral lists this transfer RNA (86 nucleotides) under Trichoderma citrinoviride. RNAcentral describes it as "tRNA-Gly". Lineage: Eukaryota; Fungi; Ascomycota; Sordariomycetes; Hypocreales; Hypocreaceae. The record is from RNAcentral.
GCGUCAUUGGUCUAGGGGUUAGGAUUCAACUCUUCCAUGUGUCUUCAUGAAAAGUUGAGGCCCGGAUUCGAGUUCCGGAUGACGCA